CAUGCAAGUCGAGCGGUAACAGGAGAAGCUUGCUUCUUGCUGACGAGCGGCGGACGGGUGAGUAAUACUUAGGAAUCUGCCCAGUAGUGGGGGAUAGCUCGGGGAAACUCGAAUUAAUACCGCAUACACCCUACGGGGAAAAGGGGGCACUUUGUGCUCUCGCUAUUGGAUGAGCCUAAGUCGGAUUAGCUAGUUGGUGGGGUAAAGGCCUACCAAGGCGACGAUCUGUAGCUGGUCUGAGAGGAUGAUCAGCCACACCGGGACUGAGACACGGCCCGGACUCCUACGGGAGGCAGCAGUGGGGAAUAUUGGACAAUGGGGGCAACCCUGAUCCAGCCAUGCCGCGUGUGUGAAGAAGGCCUUUUGGUUGUAAAGCACUUUAAGCAGUGAAGAAGACUCUAUGGUUAAUACCCAUAGACGAUGACAUUAGCUGCAGAAUAAGCACCGGCUAA
Molecule: ribosomal RNA, 452 nt
Filed under: Moraxella nonliquefaciens
Lineage: Bacteria; Pseudomonadati; Pseudomonadota; Gammaproteobacteria; Moraxellales; Moraxellaceae
Description: bacterial SSU rRNA
Rfam family: Bacterial small subunit ribosomal RNA
Source: RNAcentral